CACGGGUGAGUAACACGUAUCCAACCUGCCGUCUACUCUUGGACAGCCUUCUGAAAGGAAGAUUAAUACAAGAUGGCAUCAUGAGUCCGCAUGUUCACAUGAUUAAAGGUAUUCCGGUAGACGAUGGGGAUGCGUUCCAUUAGAUAGUAGGCGGGGUAACGGCCCACCUAGUCUUCGAUGGAUAGGGGUUCUGAGAGGAAGGUCCCCCACAUUGGAACUGAGACACGGCCAA
This 232-nucleotide ribosomal RNA is filed under the name uncultured bacterium. Its description in RNAcentral is "partial 16S ribosomal RNA". It matches the Rfam family "Bacterial small subunit ribosomal RNA", at positions 102 to 334 of the family's 1533-position model. The record is from RNAcentral.